UACGUAUGGUGGUAGUCGAUUAUUUGGAGUCGCCUUUCAGCGUUUUUGCAAAUAUAAUAGUGACCACCUAACAUACAAUACAUAAACUACAGUUAGACUUCACAGACGAGCAAGUGCAGCGGAAGGUGUGUGUUAAGAGAGCUGGUUUUUAGAAACGGAGGCAAGUAUGCGCGUAUUUCUACUAUCGUCACAUGUGGUGCUACGGACAAUUUCAUAGAUGACAUUGAUCGUGCUGUGUAUGAUGGCGCAAAUACCUACUCUUCACGUCGAUACCCUACCCGGUCUAGAACAAUAUGCUGUACGUAGAUGCAUGCGCAACACCUACACGAGCAAGUCCUCGCGUUUUACGUCUACA
Anastrepha obliqua is the source of this 355-nucleotide long non-coding RNA. RefSeq lists it as uncharacterized. The record is from RefSeq and is a predicted model, not a curated record. The transcript is spliced from 3 exons. Lineage: Eukaryota; Metazoa; Arthropoda; Insecta; Diptera; Tephritidae.